RNAcentral lists this ribosomal RNA (254 nucleotides) under uncultured bacterium. Its description in RNAcentral is "partial 16S ribosomal RNA". It matches the Rfam family "Bacterial small subunit ribosomal RNA", at positions 524 to 776 of the family's 1533-position model. The record is from RNAcentral.
UACGUAGGGGGCAAGCGUUGUCCGGAAUCAUUGGGCGUAAAGCGCGUGUAGGCGGCCCGGUAAGUCCGCUGUGAAAGUCGGGGGCUCAACCCUCGAAUGCCGGUGGAUACUGUCGGGCUAGAGUGCGGAAGAGGCGAGUGGAAUUCCUGGUGUAGCGGUGAAAUGCGCAGAUAUCAGGAGGAACACCGGUGGCGAAGGCGGGUCUCUGGGCCGUAACUGACGCUGGAGGAGCGAAAGCAUGGGGAGCGAACAGG